UGUAAAUGGACGCUUUACCGCACAAGAAGACACCGACCUCUUCAAGUUUAAGCACAAUGGGUACAUGAACAAUGUGGACGUGGAGGCUUCACUUGAGGAGGAUGGAACCGGAGUGCAAAGAAAAGCUGCAAAAUCCAUUGUUAUCACCGACAUUCUUGCCAAGGUAGAAUUCAUGGAGUCCAGAGCUGCCUUUAAGUUAGGAAUUGACUACAGAGGUCAGAUGGUGCUAAGAGGGCCAGAUGGACUUCCAAUGGUAGGGGAGGAUAUUGAGCUGUAUGUUGAUGAGGAG
This is a long non-coding RNA of Bufo bufo (common toad), 289 nucleotides long. RefSeq lists it as uncharacterized. The record is from RefSeq and is a predicted model, not a curated record. NCBI's taxonomy places the organism in Eukaryota, Metazoa, Chordata, Amphibia, Anura, Bufonidae. The transcript is spliced from 3 exons.